UACGUAGGGUCCAAGCGUUGUCCGGAUUUAUUGGGCGUAAAGAGCUCGUAGGCGGCUCAGUAAGUCGGAUGUGAAAACUCGGGGCUCAACCCCGAGACGCCAUUCGAUACUGCUGUGGCUUGAGUCUGGUAGGGGAACACGGAAUUCCUGGUGUAGCGGUGGAAUGCGUAGAGAUCGGGAGGAACAUCAGUUGCGAAGGCGGCCACCUGGACCAGCACUGACACUGAGGCACGAAAGCGUGGGGAGCAAACAGG
RNAcentral lists this ribosomal RNA (254 nucleotides) under uncultured bacterium. RNAcentral describes it as "partial 16S ribosomal RNA". It matches the Rfam family "Bacterial small subunit ribosomal RNA", at positions 524 to 776 of the family's 1533-position model. The record is from RNAcentral.